This 89-nucleotide transfer RNA is filed under the name Felis catus (domestic cat). It matches the Rfam family "tRNA". Rfam says of the family: Transfer RNA (tRNA) molecules are approximately 80 nucleotides in length. Their secondary structure includes four short double-helical elements and three loops (D, anti-codon, and T loops). Lineage: Eukaryota; Metazoa; Chordata; Mammalia; Carnivora; Felidae. The record is from Rfam by way of RNAcentral.
GCCUGGGUGGCUCAGUCGGUUAAGCCCCUGAUUUCGGCUCAGGUCAUGAUCUCAAUUGAGGAUUGUGGGUUCGGGUCCCACAUCAGGCU